UGUUAGGUGAAUUAAUCACGUUAGUUUUUCGUAUUAAAGGUGGGAUUUGUUUUUAUUUUCAAU
RNAcentral lists this transfer RNA (63 nucleotides) under Mesabolivar sp. ITV1036I1. RNAcentral's name for it is "tRNA-Glu". Lineage: Eukaryota; Metazoa; Arthropoda; Arachnida; Araneae; Pholcidae. RNAcentral also lists the same sequence under 1 other name. The record is from RNAcentral.